Molecule: long non-coding RNA, 943 nt
Organism: Anas platyrhynchos (mallard)
Lineage: Eukaryota; Metazoa; Chordata; Aves; Anseriformes; Anatidae
Source: RefSeq, a predicted model, not a curated record
AGGAUAAGCAAUAAACAUUGCAUUUAUUAGCUUCUUGUGAGUAAAUAUUUAUCUAUCACUCCUUGGCUGUAUGCUACUGUUGCAUAUUCAGUGCUCCCUGACGCACCUGUACCAUGUGGUCUGCAAACAGAAGAAAAUUCUUCACCACAUGACAAGACAGACACAACAGUGAGUUCUGGGAAUGCAAAGCAGCUUCAAUGGAGAUACAGAAGGGAGGACCAUGGCCCAUUACCUCUUGGAAUUUCCUGAUUUGAGGGGUUCACUGAGGAACCUAAAUGCUGCAUUUGAGCUAGCUUCUACCCGGCAGAGGCUAAGGCAGUGUGGUCAGCAUUGGUGGGGCUGGAAGGGAGCAGAGCUGCAGCUGUGUUGCACAGUGAUGGAACCUGGAGCAGGAUGAUAUGUGCCAAUGCAGUAUUGGAACACAGUGUAUGAUAGAUGAUAUAAGAGAUGGCCAAUUCCUUUCGACCACUUUUGAACAGUAAAUUUUGGUUCCCAAACCUGCUCAGAUGUGGAAGCUCUGAGACACAGAAAAGCCUUACAUGGUUCAUGGACCUGGACUGUCUGCUGGAAGAGCUGCCAGGAAUGAUAAAAAUGAUAAUAAAUUUGCUUUUACUGCUCGUCUCUGUUGUAGUAAAUUUGUCCCGUAUCUUUACACAAAAAUGUGUACUGACCCUUUUUACAAACCCCUAAGGAGAAAUUUGUGCACAAAAGUAACAUUCUCUUUCUCUUCACUUCUGUUUGUGGUGUCUUUUUAUAAUUUGUGGAAGGUGUCCAACAGGUUGGAAAAUGCAUUGGAAAUCUAAUCCAGACAUGUCAGUGCAACACUGGUGUUAGUUUAAACAAAAACUAAGCAAGUUUUCCCCUUUGCAAAGCAAUCUCUCCAAAAAUACUUCUCUGAUUCAGAGAUUUAUUUAUUUUUGGUCCUGACUUAACUUCUUCUGUA